Molecule: ribosomal RNA, 466 nt
Filed under: uncultured bacterium
Lineage: Bacteria
Description: partial 16S ribosomal RNA
Rfam family: Bacterial small subunit ribosomal RNA
Source: RNAcentral
GAUGAACGCUGGCGGCGUGCUUAACACAUGCAAGUCGAACGGUGAGGCCCAGCUUGCUUGGUGGGCUAGUGUCGCACAGGUGAGUAUCACGCGAGUAACACGUGCUUUUCACUGUGGUAUACCUUGAGAAAUCGGUCUAUUACUGCAUAUAAGUUCUCCUGGCAUGGUGGGGGGGGGAGAGAUUUUUGGGUGUUGGAUGGACUCGCGGCGUAUCAGCUUGUUGGUGUGGUAAUGGCUCACCAAGGCGAUGACGGGUAGCCCGCCUGAGAGGGUGACCGGCCACACUGGGACUGAGACACGGCCCAGACUCCUACGGGAGGCAGCAGUGGGGAAUAUUGCACAAUGGGCGCAAGCCUGAUGCAGCGACGCCGCGUGAGGGAUGACGGCCUUCGGGUUGUAAACCUCUUUCAGUAGGGAAGAAGCGAGAGUGACGGUACCUGCAGAAGAAGCGCCGGCUAACUACGUG